GCUGGGCAUGGUGACGGGUGCCUGUAGUCCCAGUUACUUGGGAGGCUGAGGCAGGAUAAUUGCUUGAACCCAGGAGGUGGAGGUUGCAGUGAGCCGCUAUUGUGCCACUGCACUCCAGCCUGGGUGACAAAGUGAGAUUCUGUCUCCA
RNAcentral lists this non-coding RNA (148 nucleotides) under Gorilla gorilla gorilla (western lowland gorilla). Lineage: Eukaryota; Metazoa; Chordata; Mammalia; Primates; Hominidae. The record is from Rfam by way of RNAcentral.